AGAGUUUGAUCCUGGCUCAGGAUGAACGCUAGCGGCAGGCCUAAUACAUGCAAGUCGAACGGCAAGAUUUGGUAGCAAUACUGAAUCCUAGAGUGGCGCACGGGUGAGUAACGCGUACAUGACAUACCUAUAAGCGAGGGAUAGCAUUGGGAAACUGGUAGUAACCCCUCAUGUGAUUAUUUGUAAUAAAGGUAAAUAAUUAAAACUACGGUGCUUAUAGAUUGGUGUGCGUCUGAUUAGCUAGUUGGCGAGGUAACGGCUCACCAAGGCGACGAUCAGUAGGGGGCGUGAGAGCGUGAACCCCCACACGGGUACUGAGACACGGACCCGACUCCUACGGGAGGCAGCAGUAAGGAAUAUUGGUCAAUGGAGGGAACUCUGAACCAGCCAUGCCGCGUGCAGGAUGAAAGCCCUCUGGGUUGUAAACUGCUUUUAACAGGGAAGAAAAUGCUAUACGCGAUAUAGUACUGACGGUACCUGAGGAAUAAGCACCGGCUAACUCCGUGCCAGCAGCCGCGGUAAUACGGAGGGUGCAAGCGUUAUCCGGAAUCACUGGGUUUAAAGGGUGCGUAGGCGGUUUUAUAAGUCAGUGGUGAAAUCCUGUCGCUUAACGAUAGAAUUGCCAUUGAUACUGAUAGUCUUGAAUUGGGUUGAGGUUAGCGGAAUGUGACAUGUAGCGGUGAAAUGCAUAGAUAUGUCAUGGAACACCAAUUGCGAAGGCAGCUAGCUGGGCCUUGAUUGACGCUGAUGCACGAAAGCGUGGGUAGCGAACAGGAUUAGAUACCCCGGUAGU
Molecule: ribosomal RNA, 793 nt
Filed under: uncultured bacterium
Lineage: Bacteria
Description: bacterial SSU rRNA
Rfam family: Bacterial small subunit ribosomal RNA
Source: RNAcentral